UGAGAAUGCUAAGCUAACAGACUUCU
RNAcentral lists this non-coding RNA (26 nucleotides) under Rattus norvegicus (Norway rat). The record is from RNAcentral. Lineage: Eukaryota; Metazoa; Chordata; Mammalia; Rodentia; Muridae.